GAGGAUAUGAGUGGCCCAGCAGAAGAGAUAACAACUAGAUCCAAAGCAAAACAGACACAAAAGAAAAGGGGCUCAAUACCCGGCAUACCACCAGCUGCACAGGAAAAAGUGGCAACAGCAUCUAUGGAUUCAAUGACACAGGCACUGCUCAAAAUAAACCAAUCUUUAGAAGCACUGACAAAGCUAUCUACGGAAAAUUCAAAAAAUUGACAGAACUGACAGCAAGAUUGGACUUGAAUACUGCAAGUGUAACAUCUAAUACAGAAUCUAUUAAUAAACUAAUUCAAGAAAGUUCUGAAACACGAAAGAUUGCUGAAAGUGCAAAAAUACUGCGGAGGAGACAAGGCAGGAGCUUGUGCCGAUUACAAAAAAAGUGAAUGAACAUGAUGCAGCUCUAUCUUUGUUGGAACUACAGAGAAAAGAGAGAAAUUUGAAACUGAGAUUGGUUCCCGAGAGUGAGGGAGACAGCCUUGUGGAUUUUCUUACACAGAACUUUAUGGAAUUCUGGCAAGAGGAGCUGCAGGAAGAAGAACUUGAAAUAACAACAGCUUUCCGGCUCGGCAGGAGGCAGGGUAAGAAGCCAAGGGAUUGUUUGAUCACAUUGAGAUCCAAAGGAGAAAGAGAUAAGAUAUUGAAUUUGCAUUAUCAAAAGGCAUUGGAGAUUGAAAAUAGUCAAGUACAAAUUUUUAAAGAUAUCCCUAAAUAUAUUUUGGAGGUGAGAGCCUUCUAUAAAGAUUUGGUCUACCUGCUGAAGAAAAAUAUCAUACCCUUCAGGUGGGAGUUUCCACAAGGAUUGUCUUUUACUUUCAAAGGAAGGAAGGUUAAAAUAAGAACAGUUCAAGAUAAAGAACAGUUUCUGGAGAGAUAUCAGGAGGACUUGCAGAAAGGAACAGUAGAAACAACAAUACAAGAAAAAGGAGUGACAGACAUUGCAAACUUGUCAUUUGGACUCAUACCAUCAUCUGAAGAGGAACAAAAGCUAGGAGCAGUCGGAGGAACAGGUACUUAAUAACAAAAUGUCUCUGCAACUUCUUAGCUGGAACUGUAAUGGUUUGAACCUUCCCCGAAAAAGACGCCAAGUUUUUCAUAUUUUGAAAAGAGAACAAUUAGAUCUAAUAUGCCUACAAGAGACUCAUGUGACCAGGACACAUCGGAAAUUAUUGGUAAAUAAGAGACUUGGACAAGAAUUUAUUUCAUCAGAUAAAGUUAAGAAAAGAGGCGUGGUGAUCUAUGCAAAAGAAAAAUUGGCUCCAAAGAUGAUAUUUAAAGAUGAACAAGGAAGAUACCUGGCAAUUGAAAUACAAGUUCAAGGAGAAAAAAUUUUGAUAGUUGGAAUCUAUGCACCAAAUGAUGGGAAGGCGGAAUUCUUUAAGAAGUUGCAUGAGACUUUAAUGGACUAUUUAGACUACAGAAUUAUAAUGAUGGGAGACAUGAAUGGCGUAGUUUCCACAAAUAUGGACAAAGCACAGAGACAAGUAAUUUCCAAGGAAGGGAGACUACCAAAGACUUUUUUUGAAAUGACUGAAACUAUGGACUUGAUUGACAUUUGGAGAACAAGGAACCCUCUUGAGAGAGAGGGAACUUUUUCUCUGAAGCAAAAAUGACAUGGACAAGAAUUGACCAAAUUUGGGUAACUAGCAGUAUGGCGCCAAGGAUUAAAAAGGUAGAAAUCUGCUCAAAGACUUGCUCCGACCAUAAUGCUGUAAAGAUGGAGAUGAAACUUACAACAACUGGAUCCUUCAGAUGGAGAAUGAAUGACACCCUAUUCAGAGAUGAAGAGAUUUAUAAGAAGGCCCAAAAACAGUGAAAGAUUAUUUUGAGAUAAAUUUGAGAACAGAAGUGGAAAAAAGAAUAAGUUGGGACGCAAGUAAGGCCGUGAUGCGAGGUUUCCUAAUACAACAGAACUCCAU
This 1910-nucleotide long non-coding RNA is filed under the name Podarcis lilfordi (Lilford's wall lizard). Lineage: Eukaryota; Metazoa; Chordata; Lepidosauria; Squamata; Lacertidae. The record is from RNAcentral.